Molecule: long non-coding RNA, 282 nt
Filed under: Callithrix jacchus (white-tufted-ear marmoset)
Lineage: Eukaryota; Metazoa; Chordata; Mammalia; Primates; Cebidae
Description: lncRNA (ENSCJAG00000082243.1)
Source: RNAcentral
AUGCUGCUUCUAGCACAUGCCAGGCAGAGUACUGAUCACAGAGGAAAGACAGGAAAAACUGUCCCCGCCCCCAGGUCAUUCACGUUAGCAAGGAAGGAAAGCCAGCAGAGCACUGCUGGGGUGGUGUGGAGAGGCUGUUUUAGGGGAGGUUUCCGAAAAGGUAUGAUACCCGAACUGCAUCUUCAAAGAAGAUAUAGGGUAGCUCGGGCAAUGGAAAAUGAGGAAUGCUGGGACUUGGAUAUUUUUCAACUGGAGGCUGCCACCCGCAAUAGGAAACGUUGA